AACGCACAUUGCGCCCUUUGGUAUUCCGAAGGGCAUGCCUGUUCGAGCGUCAUUAUGACCACUCAAGCCUCGGCUUGGUAUUGGGGUUCGCGGUCUUCGCGGCCCUUAAAAUCAGUGGCGGUGCCAUCUGGCUCUCAGCGUAGUUGUUUAUCUCGCUAUUGGGUCCGGUGGUUGCUUGCCAACAACCCCUAAUUUCUCACGGUUGACCUCGGAUCAGGUAGGGAUACCCGCUGAACUUAA
This 240-nucleotide unclassified non-coding RNA is filed under the name uncultured fungus. RNAcentral's name for it is "sequence contains ITS2". The stretch from base 1 to 52 matches the Rfam family "5.8S ribosomal RNA", at positions 103 to 154 of the family's 154-position model. Lineage: Eukaryota; Fungi. The record is from RNAcentral.